This 378-nucleotide unclassified non-coding RNA is filed under the name plant metagenome. RNAcentral's name for it is "partial contains 5.8S ribosomal RNA, internal transcribed spacer 2, and large subunit ribosomal RNA". The stretch from base 1 to 105 matches the Rfam family "5.8S ribosomal RNA", at positions 50 to 154 of the family's 154-position model. The record is from RNAcentral.
GAAAUGCGAUAAGUAAUGUGAAUUGCAGAAUUCAGUGAAUCAUCGAAUCUUUGAACGCAACUUGCGCUCCUUGGUAUUCAUUGGAGCAUGCCUGUUUGAGUAUCAUGAAAUCUUCAAAGUAAAUCUUUUGUUAACUCAAUUGGUUUCUACUUUGGUAUUGGAGGUCUUUGCAGCUUCACACCUGCUCCUCUUUGUUCAUUAGCUGGAUCUCAGUGUUAUGCUUGGUUCCACUCGGCGUGAUAAGUUAUCUAUCGCUGAGGACACUGUAAAAGGUGGCCAAGGUAAAUGCAGAUGAACCGCUUCUAAUAGUCCAUUGACUUGGACAAUACUUUUAUGAUCUGAUCUCAAAUCAGGUAGGACUACCCGCUGAACUUAAGC